RNAcentral lists this ribosomal RNA (492 nucleotides) under uncultured bacterium. Its description in RNAcentral is "partial 16S ribosomal RNA". It matches the Rfam family "Bacterial small subunit ribosomal RNA", at positions 29 to 507 of the family's 1533-position model. The record is from RNAcentral.
AGUGAACGCUGGCGGUAGGCCUAACACAUGCAAGUCGAACGGCAGCACAGUAAGAGCUUGCUCUUACGGGUGGCGAGUGGCGGACGGGUGAGGAAUACAUCGGAAUCUACUUUUUCGUGGGGGAUAACGUAGGGAAACUUACGCUAAUACCGCAUACGACCUACGGGUGAAAGCAGGGGAUCUUCGGACCUUGCGCGAUUGAAUGAGCCGAUGUCGGAUUAGCUAGUUGGCGGGGUAAAGGCCCACCAAGGCGACGAUCCGUAGCUGGUCUGAGAGGAUGAUCAGCCACACUGGAACUGAGACACGGUCCAGACUCCUAUGGGAGGCAGCAGUGGGGAAUAUUGGACAAUGGGCGCAAGCCUGAUCCAGCCAUACCGCGUGGGCGAAGAAGGCCUUCGGGUUGUAAAGCCCUUUUGUUGGGAAAGAAAAGCAGCAGGUUAAUACCCCGCUGUUCUGACGGUACCCAAAGAAUAAGCACCGGCUAACUUCGUG